AGACGUAGGGGGCUAGCGUUGUUCGGAAUUACUGGGCGUAAAGGGCGUGUAGGCGGCCUUGCAAGUCAGUGGUGAAACACCUGGGCUUAACCGAGGUAUUGCCGUUGAAACUGCAGGGCUUGAGGGUAGAAGAGGAGUGUGGAAUUCCCGGUGUAGCGGUGAAAUGCGUAGAGAUCGGGUGGAACACCAGUGGCGAAGGCGGCACUCUGGUCUACCCCUGACGCUGAGGCGCGAAAGCUAGGGGAGCAAACAGGAUUAGAUACCCUGGUAGUCCUAGCCGUAAACGAUGGGCACUAGGUGUAGGAGGUUUAGAUACCUUCGGUGCCGUAGCUAACGCAUUAAGUGCCCCGCCUGGGGAGUACGGUCGCAAGGCUGAA
Molecule: ribosomal RNA, 377 nt
Filed under: uncultured bacterium
Lineage: Bacteria
Description: bacterial SSU rRNA
Rfam family: Bacterial small subunit ribosomal RNA
Source: RNAcentral